UACGUGGGUGGCAAGCGUUGUUCGGAAUUACUGGGCGUAAAGGGCUCGUAGGCGGCCAACUAAGUCGGAUGUGAAAUCCCCAGGCUCAACUUGGGAACUGCAUCCGAUACUGGAUGGCUUGAAUUCGGGAGAGGGAUGCAGAAUUCCAGGUGUAGCGGUGAAAUGCGUAGAUAUCUGGAGGAAUACCGGUGGCGAAGGCGGCAUCCUGGACCGACAUUGACGCUGAUGAGCGAAAGCUAGGGGAGCAAACGGG
This 253-nucleotide ribosomal RNA is filed under the name uncultured bacterium. RNAcentral's name for it is "partial 16S ribosomal RNA". It matches the Rfam family "Bacterial small subunit ribosomal RNA", at positions 524 to 776 of the family's 1533-position model. The record is from RNAcentral.